RNAcentral lists this long non-coding RNA (1053 nucleotides) under Pogona vitticeps (central bearded dragon). Its description in RNAcentral is "lncRNA (ENSPVIG00000023382.1)". Lineage: Eukaryota; Metazoa; Chordata; Lepidosauria; Squamata; Agamidae. The record is from RNAcentral.
UUUUCCUAAACAUCCAAGUCUUUGACCUAUGAUAACUGUUGCCUUGAUACAUGGACUGUUAAAAAAGAGAAGCACUGGAUGAGUUGGUUGUGUCUUUGUGGACACUCAUUCUGUCCUUCUUUGCUUAGUGUGUGUCUGGAUGUACAGGAAAUAGACAUUGUGCAUAAAUAGAUAUUUAGCACAAAUUAUAAUAAGCACAAUUUUAAAAGCACUUGGUCUCUCACUCUCGCAGGGGCUUGAAAAUUGCCAUGUGAAAGGCAGCCUGUCUCAAACAUACACACAGUAAUGAUAAAAUGUGUUCAAUUCAGAUCACAUGAAUGUCUGUAUGCACUGAUAUUCUUGAGGCUGUCAAAGCUAGCAAAAAUGUUUCCUGAAACUCUAGAGUCCUGGUCCUGUUGGAUUUCCAUGCCACAGGGGUGUUUACCCCAAGGAACUGCUGUGACUCUUUCAACUCUCAUAGUGCAUUCCCAUGCCUCUUUCCCAUACAGUUGUCCGUCAGCUAAAAUGGAUGUCAAUGACCAGAACCAGAAGAAGCAACAACUGUAUGAGACACCUUACCCAGAGAGAUAAGGAAGCACCUCCAGAAAAUCAACAAUGAAAUUUCCUCCUUAGAUUGUAAGAUGCUGGUCCAAGUCUCACCGGAGUGCUGCAUUUAGAAAUGUUUUUGUGUGUAUCUCAACUAAAUGCUUAUUUUCCUUAUGAGAACUUUGAUAUUUUAAAGAAAGCUUUUACAUAUUUUGUAUAUUUUAGCUUCCAAAGACAUUAACUGCCUUUAUAGGGUAUAAGCUCCUAUAAUUUUAGGAAUAUAACUUAAAACAUUCUUUCUUAUAUUUGAUCAUAUUUUGUUUUUGUAUUUUGGAUUCAAGCAAAACCACACCUUAGGUUUUAACACCUGUGACAUUUCAUAAAUUGCAAAGAAUGGAUUUUAAGUAUUUAGUGCCUACAGAUUCUCCUCAAAACAAUAUGAAUGUCUUCAAUAUAUUUUGGAUUUGCUAUUUUUAAAUUAUGGAACUUAGAAACAAUGUAGAUGAAUAAAACUUGGGAAAAAUUACA